AGUAAGAUGGCUGAGCUUUAGGCGAUAAACUGUAAAUUUAUUUACGAAAUAAUUAUUUCUCUUACUA
This 67-nucleotide transfer RNA is filed under the name Sphaeridium bipustulatum. RNAcentral's name for it is "tRNA-Tyr". Lineage: Eukaryota; Metazoa; Arthropoda; Insecta; Coleoptera; Hydrophilidae. The record is from RNAcentral.